GAUGAACGCUGGCGGCGUGCCUAAUACAUGCAAGUCGAGCGAACAGACGAGGAGCUUGCUCCUCUGACGUUAGCGGCGGACGGGUGAGUAACACGUGGAUAACCUACCUAUAAGACUGGGAUAACUUCGGGAAACCGGAGCUAAUACCGGAUAACAUGUUGAACCGCAUGGUUCAACAGUGAAAGACGGUCUUGCUGUCACUUAUAGAUGGAUCCGCGCCGCAUUAGCUAGUUGGUAAGGUAACGGCUUACCAAGGCAACGAUGCGUAGCCGACCUGAGAGGGUGAUCGGCCACACUGGAACUGAGACACGGUCCAGACUCCUACGGGAGGCAGCAGUAGGGAAUCUUCCGCAAUGGGCGAAAGCCUGACGGAGCAACGCCGCGUGGGUGAUGAAGGUCUUCGGAUCGUAAAACUCUGUUAUUAGGGAAGAACAAAUGUGUAAGUAACUAUGCACGUCUUGACGGUACCUAAUCAGAAAGCCACGGCUAACUACGUG
Molecule: ribosomal RNA, 497 nt
Filed under: uncultured bacterium
Lineage: Bacteria
Description: partial 16S ribosomal RNA
Rfam family: Bacterial small subunit ribosomal RNA
Source: RNAcentral